This is a long non-coding RNA of Drosophila hydei, 592 nucleotides long. RefSeq lists it as uncharacterized. The record is from RefSeq and is a predicted model, not a curated record. NCBI's taxonomy places the organism in Eukaryota, Metazoa, Arthropoda, Insecta, Diptera, Drosophilidae. The transcript is spliced from 3 exons.
UAAAGGACAAAGCAUUAAAGUGGGAUUUGCUCUGCCGUGCCGGGCUAACUGUAACUGUAAAUUGUACACGCCGUGUUGCGCCUUCACCCAAGGGUGAACGGAAUCGUUCCACCCUCCUUGAAUAAACUUUCCAUCCCAAUCGUGUGCUGUGUGAAAAUCACACAGAAAAACAAGAGCAGAGUUUUAGUUUUUAUUCGCAACAGCCAUUUGCUUAGUGCCACAGCAAAGCCGCGGGCGUGGCGUCCACGGACACGGACACGGCCAGGGACACAGAGACAGCGGCAGCCGCAGCAGCAGCCGUUGCAACGGGACUAUUUCACAUUUUGUUCUGGCUGUGUUAAUUUGUCGUGCAUUUGCAGCAACUGUGAAAAAUAACUGCGAAAACUUCAACUCGCAAAAGAGGAAAAGAGUUUUUUAGCUGCCACAGUUGCGAGCCACUGCAGGACGCCGGCUGCCCAUGUGAGAUGCAUGGGAAAUCUUUGUCAAGUGAGAGCAAACGAAACGUUGGGCAAUUAAAGGAUUAAGCGAGGACGUGAACAGGACCUCGACUGAGGGGCUGGAAAAAAUUUGGGGAAUCAGCGCCAACAGCAUC